UUAAAGCCCCGUCCAUCCUGGACACGACAUUCUCGUACAAAGGAACUUUCUUUCGAGUCGGAUAGCUUGGGAAUGCUGUCCUAAUAGGUGGUAAAUCUCAUCUAAGGCUAAAUACUGGUGGGAGACCGAUAGCAAACAAGUACCGUGAGGGAAAGUUUAAAAGCACUUUGAAAAGAGAGUGAAAAGAACCUGAAACCGCUAGGGGGGAAGCGAAUUGCGCUGAUAUGUGAGAGGAGUGUCGAUCAGUGGGUGAAACCGCGUACUCUGCACUUUUUCUCUGCCGUCAUGGGUUUGUAGUGGUGGAUUUUGCACUGCUGCAGGCCGAGGGAUCCCUUUUAUAGGUGACGAUGAUGGAUUUGUCGGUGCGAUUCGACCCGUCUUGAAACACGGACCAAGGAGUCUAGCGUACCUGCGAGUCAAAGGGUGUGAAAACCUGAGGGCGCAGUGAAAGCGAAUCUAUUGAAAAUGGUGCAAUUUGAGGCGGCAUACGAUCUUUGAUUGUAAGUCCGACCUAGAGCAGAUAUGCUAGGACCCGAAAGAUGGUGAACUAUGCUUGAGUAGGGCGAAGCCAGAGGAAACUCUGGUGGAGGCUCGUAGCGGUGCUGACGUGCAAAUCGCUCGUCAAACUUGAGUAUAGGGGCGAAAGACUAAUCGAACCAUCUAGUAGCUGGUUUCCUCCGAAGUUUCUCUCAGGAUAGCAGGCCCAAAUAUAUGAUUGUUGUGUGUGGUAAAGCGAAUGAUUAGCAUACUCGGGGUCGUUUAGACUUCGGAUGAUUCUCAAACUUUAAAUGCGCACGGAUGUUGCCGCUUGGGUGGGCGGCAUCUCUAAAAACUUGGGCUUUGUGGGCCACUUUUGGUAAGCAG
This 864-nucleotide ribosomal RNA is filed under the name Delesseria sanguinea. RNAcentral describes it as "eukaryotic LSU rRNA". It matches the Rfam family "Eukaryotic large subunit ribosomal RNA", at positions 213 to 1147 of the family's 3401-position model. Lineage: Eukaryota; Rhodophyta; Florideophyceae; Ceramiales; Delesseriaceae. The record is from RNAcentral.